RNAcentral lists this transfer RNA (72 nucleotides) under Ictidomys tridecemlineatus (thirteen-lined ground squirrel). RNAcentral's name for it is "Spermophilus tridecemlineatus (thirteen-lined ground squirrel) tRNA". It matches the Rfam family "tRNA". From Rfam's summary of the family: Transfer RNA (tRNA) molecules are approximately 80 nucleotides in length. Their secondary structure includes four short double-helical elements and three loops (D, anti-codon, and T loops). Lineage: Eukaryota; Metazoa; Chordata; Mammalia; Rodentia; Sciuridae. The record is from Rfam by way of RNAcentral.
GGAGAUGUAGCUCAGUGGUAAAGCACCUGCCUAGCAUGCAUGAGGACCUGAGUUCAAUCCCCACCAUCACAU